GUACACACCGCCCGUCACACCAUGGGAGUGGGUUGCAAAAGAAGUAGGUAGCUUAACCUUCGGGAGGGCGCUUACCACUUUGUGAUUCAUGACUGGGGUGAAGUCGUAACAAGGUAACCGUAGGGGAACCUGCGGUUGGAUCACCUCCUUACCUUAAAGAAGC
This 163-nucleotide ribosomal RNA is filed under the name Escherichia coli. RNAcentral's name for it is "partial 16S ribosomal RNA". It matches the Rfam family "Bacterial small subunit ribosomal RNA", at positions 1383 to 1533 of the family's 1533-position model. Lineage: Bacteria; Pseudomonadati; Pseudomonadota; Gammaproteobacteria; Enterobacterales; Enterobacteriaceae. The record is from RNAcentral.